AGUGCAAUAGAGGCGGGGAAAGAAACUGGAAAUUCGAAAAUGUUCAACUUCAAGAUGCCUUUGGGCUAAAGCGAUGAAUCAGGGUGACGGUAGGUAUUAUAAAAAUGAACGUGUGAAGUGGAAGUAAACCAGUUACGUUGGUGCCUUCAAACUGACUCCAUCGUCGGCAACAUAUUGCAUCGGCGAAAUAUUGCAUAUUCGGCUGUCAAUCAUGCAUAAGACAAAGUCGUUCAUUCAUUUUUGCAUUUUCCAGCAGCCCUACUAACUACAAUGUUUCCCCCACUAGUUCAUUGUAUGGAUCGAUUAUUGAACUGUUUAAUUUUUGAAUUUUUAGGGGACUACGAUGUCACGCUGCUGUUUGCUUUUGCCAUUUUGAUGGCUACAUCGGCGGGUACCGAUGGGUUUGUCCUCAUCUGGACACUAGACUACACAACCCCUACGCCCUACUACACCACCUCGUAUGCUGCUCCCUCUUACAGCACCAAGGCUCUCGAAUAUUAUACCACAUAUGCAGCUCCCAGCUACUACACCGAGUCUCCCAACUACUUAGUCUACUACACGACCAGAACGCCCAAAUACUACACGACCAUAUACUCCGCUCCAACAUACUACACUCAAGCCAUUAAAUACUAUGCUGCUCAAAGGGGGAAAAUAUAACUUUUUGUUCGAAACUGUGGCUAUUGAAAUAGGACUAAUGCAGGGAAACUUAUGAAGACAAAACCAAAAUCAUGUCUUGAGUUCUUUGAGAUUCACUUGAACUUAACACCAGAGAAGGACCUGCCUUUGAUCAGAAACAGAACUGGUGAUAUCCAUAGCAAAAUAAACUGUGAACUUUUACUAUUAAAAAUGGAGAAGUUGUGCAAUGUAGGACCACACUCAAGACACAAUUAAAUAGGAGUGCCUUGUAACACAACUUUAUUGAAAGCAAACUUUGACAGUACAGAAAUUGGUAUGCAUUUUGAUAACAGGAAACUUUUCCUAGUUAAGGUGAAAAGACCGAAUGGUAUAGUGAUAGUUA
This is a long non-coding RNA of Daphnia magna, 1018 nucleotides long. RefSeq lists it as uncharacterized. Lineage: Eukaryota; Metazoa; Arthropoda; Branchiopoda; Diplostraca; Daphniidae. The record is from RefSeq and is a predicted model, not a curated record. The transcript has 3 exons.